UAACUUCAAAGAAGAAGUUAUAUAUCCAGAUUAUGAAACAGAUUGCGAGUUUCCUUGCAUUUUGAAUGAAAAGAUAAAUUGAUAAUAUAUCCUUUGACAAAACCCAAUAGAAAGUUAAAUAAACAAGCUAACUGCAAAAUUUCCUAUCUUUUGUUAUGCAACUUUAUGUUGAAGGAAUGUAAUUCUGCUCUGUAGACUUUUUGAAAAGUGUGUCGUCGUACAUUCCACCUAUGAUAAUGAGAGACGAAAUCUGACAUCUGACUGGAGUUUUCUUCCUGGGUAGUUUGACACUCUCACCUGGUGUUGCUUUCAGAUGUCUGCCAUCGCUAAGGUUUGAAAGAUAUAAUACCUUCUUGUUGCCUACUGAUGGGUUUACAAUUUUGUCACAAGAGCUUUCGUGUUUGCACAAGGUCACCAGUAAUGGCAUGAAAGAAAAAUUACUCAGUUGGAUAUGUCAACUGUCCCUAGAAAGUCAUGCAUGUUAAAGACUUGGAUUGACUGAUUUUGAAUAUGGACACGCCCCAAAAAGAAGCACCUUCUUUCAUCCCUGCAAAGUCUGCCUCAUCAGCCUCGCCUUGGGAGAAGCCCUGCAGUGGUGACAUAGGAGCCCACCGAUCCUGCACAGCCUGCAAAAAAUGGAUGAGUACAUUCAGACACAAUAGACAUUCUCUUUGCAUUAGCUAUAUGAAGGUGCAGUGUAAUAUUAACAGAGAUGUGAGGAAUUUAGGGAUUGGUCGGUAGAACAAAUGGAUGCCUAUUUAAAACAUAGUCGCUAAGAGUAAGCGUAGGCAAAUAACAGCACUUAAGAAGAGAGAGGAAGAAGGUAUUGAAUGUUUUUUUUAGGAAAUUAGAAGAUAGGUUGUCUUCAAGUAGGACAAGUCUUUUUUUCAAAUUUCAUGGCUAAGAUAAAUGAAGAAGAGGAUACUAACAGUAGUAUUGCAGAUACUAAUCGUUCUUUUUCAGCUCCCCUGCCUGUUCCAGAACCAGCCCUAACGGGUGCCAGGGGUCAUGGAGAACCACAAACCCGGAGGGUAGGAUCUACUAGCCCCCCAGCAUGGAGCAGGCAGUGUUAGCAGCAGAAUUCCCCAUUUCCCCUUUAAGGUAAGUUCUCAGGGUGAAUUAGCAAUAGGUGAGACACAGACAGCUAGGAAUCUUACAUUAGGUGUGCAGGAAGAGAAGUUGCAGGGGCAGUUGCUUUCUGGUUCUGAUGCAAGUUCUUUUUCGGGCAGGGUGGGGUCUCAUUUAGAUCCUGCAGAGAUUUUGUUCCCUUCCUCGAACUUGUCUCGUCAUAAGGCUUCUAAGCCAUCAGGGGAUACUGUAGUGGAGGCAGUGUCUUCUGUUGAAUGUAAGGAUGACUCUCCUUCGUCUUUGAAGGUUCCCUUUCCUUUGAAGGUUACAUCGGAGUUAUUGGCUGGUGACGAUUCUUUGGAGAAUUUGUCGUUUAAUCUGGCCGAAUAUAAUGCUGACUUCUUAGGUUUAUUGGAAGGUUAUAGGGUAUUGGUCAGGCAGUGCAUGCACUUUGGUUUUUCCAAUAUGUAUUUGGGAGCAUGCUCAGGAAUUUUCCUGAGUUUACUGGUUAGAUGUGUCAGGAUUACCAGGGAGGAGGAGAUUCUAUAUCUUUUCUGUCUCUCCGAAAGAUGGCUUCGUCCUCUACCUCCUUUUCUUCUUUGCUUCCUUCUGUCUCAAGUGUUUCCCUUCAUCCUUUAUCACCCAAAUCUUGUUCUCAGACUGUCUCUCAUCUUUCCCUUUUGGGGUCAUACUUCGGUAUCUUCUGCUGACUGUCCUCAGGCAUCUCCUAUGGGUUCGCCUCCUGUUGUUACCUUCUCUUUGGGGCAAGCGUUUUCUCUGUCAGGGUUUUUUAUCUGAGGCAGAGGCUUCCGCAAGGUUUUAUUCAAACCAGUUGCCAGAUGUGGGUCUUGAUAUUUAAGGUGUAGGUCAGGCUCAAUCUGUCGUUUUGAAAGUAGCGAACUUUUCACCCGAGAUUCUCUCAGGUCCGCUGGCUACAGCUUUUCCUCUUCCCUCCGGUGCGGAGAUAAUAGAUAUGCCUUGUCCGCAUCGGCCUCAGUAGACCAGAUAUGUUCCUUGAGUGCGCCUGUUAGUGCAGGGUCAGUGGGUAUGUUUUCUACCUGUCCAACUUCCGCGGUUGGAGUUACGGUGGUUGUGCCGAGUAUGACUGCUUCCCAUUUCUUUUCUCCUCCUAUGUCCUUCUCAGCACUUCCUCAAGGUGUGGUGGUUUCUCCCUCUAAUAGAUAUGGUGUUGGUUCAGGGUUUGUGUCGUGUGUGUCGGGGAUAGUUACUCCCUCAUCCUUCUUUGAUGUUUCCGCUAUGGGGGUUUUCCGUCCAAACAGGACGAUGGUUCAUUCAGGUUUGGGCGUUGCGGCUUCACCAAUCUUAGGUGCUGGGGCGGUUCAUCUGGUAGUUUUGGGCUCAGGUGUUUCACCUUCGGGAUUGUGUGAUUCAGGUUUAGCGCAGUUGGCUGUGACUUGUGCAGCGAUUUCGUCAUCUUCUUUCAGUGGUGGGAGGGUUGUGCAACCGAGUACGCUCGGCUCAGGUGGGUGUGUCCCAGGUAGGUGCGGUUCGGAGGUGGCGCACCCUUUUGUUGACCGCCCGACAGUUUUAGGAGUUACAUCAAAGCUCAUAGGGGAUGGAGGUCUUGUGCAACCAUUAGCAGUUGGCUCAGAGUUAUUGCCAGGAAUGCUAGGUCAUGUAUCUAAGGGUACAGAGGUUGUGGGUUCCCCUUGUUCGGGGUUAGGUAGUCUUGGUGUGCAUCCUGUCUCAUUCCUGCUCCAUUGUGGUCAGAAGAUUUAGAUGGAAACGUUAUAUCAGAUGACGAAGGUCCUGUGAUGGAAGUUGGCUUUCCCCAAGCGGGAGAAAGCGAGAAUAAGCGGAUGGUGGAGUUCAUCCAUUCUCUCUUUCCUCAGUCUAGGGUUUCGGAGGACCCGGUACAGCCUAAGUAGGCUAUAUUAAUAAACAUUACCUUAAUAUAAUUUAUCUAGCCCUAAAUCCCCAAAAACCUCACCAAUAUUUAUCACAUUGACAACCCUGUUACCUCCUGUUCUGUCCGCCAGUUGGCAACACUUCCGUUGACAGUUACAAAACCUUCCCUUGAAAAUCAGUCGUUACCGAGUGCCCGUGCUGUUUACAUCAUGGCUGCUCUUUAUAAAUUUCCUAAACCUUUUUGUGCCUUUAAAGCUCUCAUUAAUUGUUAAUGCGACUUUAUGUUAAUUACCACUCACGUAUUACAUCCACGAAAUAGUGAAUUAACUUUUAUUUCUAUUGUGGUAUUUAUUUUAUAUUACGAACUUUUGCGCGACCCGUAAUUACGUGACCUGUCCAACAGUCUAAUGGAUUGCCAAGAUAAUUCGAUGCUUCCUUCUGCCAGCAACAUCAGGAAUUGCCCCGGCUUGUGGGACAAGGAUGAGUAGCAGGGAGUAUGAACCCCAUGACAUUUGUAGCUUUUGUCAUGGACAGGUUUGUGACUUGACUUCUCGUUGUGACUUAUGUAAGCCUUGGUCUGACGAAGACAUGACGACUUAUAUGAAACAUCAAAGAAUCUUGCAGCGUAACAGAUUGAUUAAAGAGAAAAAGAAAUCAGUAGCUAGACCUGUAUCUAAUGAUUUUCUUGACUUGUGCGCUCAUGGUUCUGGCUCUUCGGUUUUGGUAUCGUGUGAUUCCGAUUCCGAAUUAAUUGAUGCUUUGCCACCUGUACAACCGGUAAAUAGUAAAGUUGUUUCUGAUGUUGAUUCAGUUUUUGACGAUGGAAACUAGUUGGAAACAGAAAUUUGAAAAGUUACAGCUUAGUUUAGAUAGACAUGUCAGAGAAUUUUGAAGAAGUUUUUACUAGAAUGUCUAACACUCUUUUAGAUUCAUUUUCAGCUCCUCGUCAGGUACCUGUCGACAGCACCAUGGGUAACGGUGUGACAGAUACCCCGACUUGUGAACCACGUCGUUGCGAAGGCCUAGGGGGGGAUCCAGUCUGGGCAGGUGCCUGACGAUUCUUUACCCAGUGUUUCCCAUAACAGUGCCAAAGGGCGCUUAUUUAGGAGAAGGGGGGAGGGGUAUUAGUGUUAGACCUAAGAUAGCUAGUCGUUAGGAUCUUACUUCAGGGGAAGUUUCUCAGUUAGGAUCUGAUGAUGAUGAUGAUGAUGUGGAUUCUUGUGAUAUUGAUGUUUCUUUGAACAGCGGUCAUGAUGUCAAGUUCAAGAAACUUUUUGAUUUAAUUUUGAGUUUUCUUCCUCAGGCGAGGCCUAAAGAGCAGAAACAGCCUCCGCCUCAUAUUACAGAAGGGAUUUUUCUUGAUGGUCUUUCCCGGUCGCGGGAGUUUGUACGUUUUCCCUUUGCUCAGAGGUUCGCGAGAGUGAGGGCGGACGUUGCUGCUAAACUUUCAAAGGUGAUCAGAGAAGGAAAGAGGAAGCUCUCUUCUCUUCUAUGACAUUGGAGAGGAGUUUAUCAGGUGGCGGAUGAUACUCAUUCUCUCGACCCCCCAAACCAAAUCCUGAUUUACUCCGACUUUUGGGUCAACCUUUGCUUUCCAAGGCUUUGGUCUCGGUCUCAAUCGAAGACUUUAUUGCCAUGGAGUCUGUUAUGAGCUCCUUACAAGAAGCUCAAUCCUUCAAUAUGUGGGUCCUCAGAGGUCUUUUAAUGUAUAUUAAGGACUCCGGGUUUGUUCCUCCCGAUGCUCCUCUUUUUGAGAAAUUCUGCUCAUCUAUUUUAAUCGCUUCUGUACAUCAGAACGAGCUUGCCGCUUCAAUGCAGGCCUUUCUUGUUUCUCUAAGGCAUAACCUGUAUUUGUCGCAGUUACCCUCCUUUGUAUUGGAGAUUCAGAGAAACUGUUUCUUGUCUCUUCUCCUUUUGGCGAUUCCCUAUUUGAUAUGUGUGCUUUCUGAGGUUUUGAAGUAACAUCAAGGUGAUGCCUCUUCCCAAGCUCACUGGGCCUUAUCAAGGGCUUUUUCCUAUGGUUUUCCUCCUGUUCUUUCAAGGAGCAAGACUAAGUUUAGUGCCAGAUCUGUACCUUCUGCUCCAGCCCAACAACCUCCUCCUUCUGGCUCGUUUUUCCAGAGUACAUCUCAGUUUUCUGGCGCCUCAGCUUCCUCCUCUGGUGCUCACUCUUUGAAACGUUCGAGAGGUUCUUGGCGUGGCUCUAAGGGCAGGGGAAGAGCUCAACCUCCAGGAGGACCUUCUUCUUCUUCCUUGUCUCUGCGUAAGAAUUUUCGGAAGUAGGAGUCAUUACCUCGCCCGGAGACCGCAGUAGGAGCUUGUCUCUCUCGCCAUUGGUCAGCUUGGCAGGAGAGAGCAGUGGAUGCUUGGGUAGUGGAGGUCCUGAAGGUAGAUUACGAGAUCCCUUCUGUUUCGAGACCUCCACUUUCCAAUCGUCCUCUUGAGUUCAGCAGUUAUUCCCCUCACUCAAUCAGGGGUCAAGCCUUGGAGAAGGAACUUUUGGCUCUCUUGGAGAAGGAUGCCAUAGAGCGAGCUCCUCCUCCUGGGUUUUACUCACUGGUGUUUGUAGUUCUAAAGGCCUCGGUUGCAUGGUGCCCCACCAUAGAUCUUUCGGUCUUGAACAAGUUCAUUCUAAAGUCCAAGUUCCGGAUGGAGACGGUUCAGACUGUUCUUUUAUCCAUCAGGAUGGGGGACUGGAAGAUUUCCAUCGAUCUGCAGGAUGCUUAUCUGCAAAUCCCCAUCCAUCCGAAGAGCAGACCUUACCUUUGGUUUUUCAUGGACACGGGAGUUUUCCAGUUCAAGACCCUUUGUUUCGGCCUCACCACUGCUCCACAGGUCUUUUCUCGGGUGAUGGCUCCUGUUUCGGCUAUUCUGCAUCAGUUAAAUGUAAGGAUGCUUCGGUAUCUGGGCAAUUGGCUAGUCCAGGCCGAAUCUCUAGAGAAAUGUCUCCGGUCGAGGGAGAUAGUUCUGUCUCAUUAUGUUGAGUUGGGCAUUCGUUUCAACUUCGACAAGUCCAGUCUAAUCCCUUGCCAGAUCAUGACUUAUCUGGGGAUUAUUUUGAAUUCCCAGAUUUUGAGGGCUUCCCCUGCUCCAAAACGUAUAGACAAGCUUCUAAGUCUGGUCGAAGAAUUUUUGUCCUCCGUAAUGCAGCCAGUUUCUCUUUGGAGGACUCCUGGGCCAUUUGUCAUCCCUCAUCCAACUGGUUCCUGGAGGUCGUCCUAGAAUGAGGUCCCUUCAGUCGACACUUCGCCAGUCGUGGGAUUUCGUGUCUGAGAACACGAUAGUCACCUCCUCUCCACAAUGUCGGAAGGAUCUCCGUUGGUGGAUGCAAGUUCACCGUCUCAAGUCAGGGACGUCUCUUCUUUCAGUUCCGCCGGACAUAAUGUUUUGGUCAGACGCCUCGGAUCAAGGUUGGGGCGCGCACCUGGGCUCCGAAGCCGCUUCGGGCCUUUGGUCAUAGGAAGAGAGGAUCAUGUCAAUAAAUUGGAGGGAACUAAAGGCAGUGUACCUAGGCCUUCUUUCAUUUCAGGAUCAACUGUUUGAGUCGGUUGUCGCUAUCUUCAUCGACAACACCACAGCAGUCUCGUACUUUAGAAACCAAGGUGGCACACAAAGAAACCAAGGUGGCACACAGUCAGACCUUCUCACUCAAGAACCCUGAUCAAUCCUGUGUUGGGGAGAAGACAGGGGGAUUAUGUUGGUCCCUCAGUUUAUCCUGGGCCAGCGGGCAGCAUGUAGUAUGGGACUUACUGAGGCAGUGGCUUGACAGUUGUCUUUCUGCCUAAGGAGAUUGACCAGAAGACUAUCAGGCUAGAUGGGCAAUGUACCGCAACUGUUGUAGGAAGGAAGGGCACAGUAUUUCUUGCCCCACCAUUGUGAAAGUAGUAGAUUUCCUCCUGUUCCUCAGAAAGUCAAAGAAGUUGUCUUAUUUGACAAUUGCUAGGUAUAGAUCCAUGCUUAGUAGUACCUUUAGGUUCCACCUUCCGGAACUGUCAAACAACAGAGUCUUACAUGAUCUCCUAAGGUCUUUUAAGAUUGUGUCCAGUUAUUCCGCUUCGGGCCCCUUCGUGGGAUAUAGUGAAGGUGUUGAAUUUACUGAGCUCUCCGGGUUUUGAACCCUUAGAGAACUUGUCAUUAAGGGAACUGACCAAGAAGUUAAUGUUCUUGGUCUCGCUCGCCACAGCGAAGAGAGUAGGAGAGAUUCAGGCAGUGGCUAGGAGAGUAUUGUUCUCAGGUUAGGACAUUUAUCUUGCCUACCUUCCAGAGUUUGUCACCAAGUUUGAGUCUGAGAUUAAUCCCCUGCCGAGAAAUUUUAAGGUUUCCUCGCUAUAGGAUUUUGUUGGAGGUAACGCAUUAGAGAUGCGCCUGUGUUCGGUUCGAGCUCUAAAGACCUAUCUGUCCUGCACUGCAAACCUGCAAAACUCUUGCUGCAUCCUCGGGCCUUAUUUGUGUCUCCAAAGAACUCUUCCAAGGCGAUUUCAAAGAACACUAUCAGCUUUUUACACGAGGUGAUUUCUCAGGCUACCCUUAGCUCAUCAUCAUCCGGUGCAGCGAGUGCUGCUCCUCGACCAAGGGUGCACAGUGCAGGCAGUCCCCGGUUAUCAGAGGGGGGGUUUCGUUUCCCGCGGGUGGUUGCUGAUAAGCGAAAACUGCCAUUAACUGAAACUAGCAAUUUAUGGCGCCAUAAUGGCAGUUAUAGCGCCGUUAAACGGUAAUCGCUGCCAUAAGCACAAUUAUGGCGCCUCAGUUAGGUAUGUUAUGACACCUUAUGGCGCCAAUAACCGGAACUUGGCCUGUUAUGGGGCCAUAAAAUUGCUGAUUUCAUGGCACUAGACAAGAGCCAUAAAACUGGGUCUGCCGAUAACCGGGGACUGCCUGUAUUAGGGGCUUAGCUACCUCUAGUGCGUUUCUGAAUCAUUUCUUUAAGUUAGGGUUUUUCCUUGUGUGUUUGUUAUCAACUCGGAAGGUAGGCGAUUGCCUGGCUGAACGGCUUCAUCGACUCUCGUGCACACUCUUCACCUGCAAGUGAUCGGCGGAGAACCCAAAGGACUGCUCAUGUAACUUCUCUAUACAUGAGAGGCUAGACAGCGACAUGGGAGGCUUCAAUUCCCUCCAUACAUGCGAGGUAUUGAAUACCACAUGGGAGGCCAGCCUGACGGACGAGACCUGACUAACAAGACUGACGUGAGGUACUCUCUCCACUUCCAAUCUCACCUAGUGAAUUGAUAAAAUAGGGGAGUCCACAUACAUUAUACAUAGUGGGUGGAACUUAGUUACCUGCAAUGUUCAGUGGAGGG
Long non-coding RNA from Macrobrachium nipponense, 8234 nucleotides. RefSeq lists it as uncharacterized. The record is from RefSeq and is a predicted model, not a curated record. The transcript is spliced from 3 exons. NCBI's taxonomy places the organism in Eukaryota, Metazoa, Arthropoda, Malacostraca, Decapoda, Palaemonidae.